RNAcentral lists this ribosomal RNA (460 nucleotides) under uncultured bacterium. RNAcentral describes it as "partial 16S ribosomal RNA". It matches the Rfam family "Bacterial small subunit ribosomal RNA", at positions 338 to 795 of the family's 1533-position model. The record is from RNAcentral.
CCUACGGGUGGCUGCAGUGAGGAAUAUUGGUCAAUGGGCGGGAGCCUGAACCAGCCAAGCAGCGUGAGGGAAGAAGGUCCUGCGUAUCGUAAACCUCUUUUGUCAGGGAACAAAGGCGGGGACUAGUCCCCGGAUGAGGGUACCUGAAGAAAAAGCAUCGGCUAACUCCGUGCCAGCAGCCGCGGUAAUACGGAGGAUGCGAGCGUUAUCCGGAUUUAUUGGGUUUAAAGGGAGCGUAGGUGGAUUGUUAAGUCAGUUGUGAAAGUUUGCGGCUCAACCGUAAAAUUGCAGUUGAAACUGGCAGUCUUGAGUACAGUAGAGGUGGGCGGAAUUCGUGGUGUAGCGGUGAAAUGCUUAGAUAUCACGAAGAACUCCGAUUGCGAAGGCAGCUCACUGAACUGCAACUGACACUGAUGCUCGAAAGUGUGGGUAUCAAACAGGAUUAGAUACCCUUGUAGUC